ACCCUUCUCCGGGUGGGGCCCGCGCCCCAGCGCCCCCUGCCGCCACGCCCUCCAUCUGCAACCUCCGAGGCGUCCAUCAGGCCCGCCCCGUCGUGACUCAGUUUCCCCAGAGGUUCCGGAACUGGAUUCCCCCAGCCCACCCUCUGCCCGCCUUCCGCUUUCCUGCCGGCCUCCAAGCCCCUAAGCACUUGGCCGAUCUGCUCCUGGGACGACCCCGCGAUCCCGCCCAGCAGCCCCGUCCUGGCCAGGUGAGGCCCCAGGUGUUCCUGACCCCGGAACAGCCCGAUGGGGUGGUGACCCACUGCUCCCGCGCCCCUCCAGCGCCAUGUGGCCCAAUGAUACCGCCCUGGGGCCGUGUUUCCGGCCCAUCAACAUCACGCUGGAGGAGCGGCGCCUGAUCGCUUCGCCCUGGUUCGCGGCCUCCUUCUGCGCCGUGGGCCUGGCCU
RNAcentral lists this long non-coding RNA (446 nucleotides) under Fukomys damarensis (Damara mole-rat). RNAcentral's name for it is "lncRNA (ENSFDAG00000027662.1)". Lineage: Eukaryota; Metazoa; Chordata; Mammalia; Rodentia; Bathyergidae. The record is from RNAcentral.